Molecule: non-coding RNA, 1707 nt
Organism: Nylanderia fulva
Lineage: Eukaryota; Metazoa; Arthropoda; Insecta; Hymenoptera; Formicidae
Source: RefSeq, a predicted model, not a curated record
GUACAGCAAUUAAAAAGCAUUAUAGCAAUAUUAAUUAUUACUAAAACUUUUUAUUCAACAGAAUUUUAAUAUUAUUUUGUUUGGUACUUUUACUUGUUAGCAUAUACAAACUAUAAUAUGUGCCAAAUGAUCAAAGCGAAAGCAACGAUUUAAAUUUAAAACCGGCAAAAUCUUUUAUUUAAUUACUGUGACUCCGGUGGUUUAAAGUGCAUACGCAUUAUUCUAUAAAUUAUUAUAAUUGCAUCGAUUUGUAAGGUAAAUGAAAUAAAGAGCGAAAGUGGCCAUAUUUUUUUAUAAAUAUGUAUCGCUUAGACAUAUGCGUUUUCAGUCAAAUUAUUUCUUGUUGAAAUACUGGAAAGAAUUUUAAAUUUGAUCGUACAUGAUCAAUAAUAUUGCUUUUGUUAGCGUUUAUUUACAAUAAAAUCAGAAAUACGCGUUCCGCGCAGUUGUUUGUCGUUCUUAUCCAGAUACACUUGUUUUGUACACUUCUUUUAUUAUUAUAAUGUCCCAUAUACAAACAAUUAAAAAUCAUCUAGAAGUAAGUUAUAAGCUCGAGGCAGCGGUGGAAGAUGUUUUAACUGGAGAGAAAGAUGUGCAAGCCGCUGCAAUAAGCUAUCGACUGAAUCGGAAAAUGUUUUAUCGAAAAAUAAACGUAAUAACAAAGAUGAAAAAGUAUAUUACACUAAAAUGUAAAUUCGAAUUAGCAGUAACGGAGUAUUUAAAUAAAAGAACAACUAUAAAAGGCGCCGCAAAUCACUAUGGAAUUAAUCGAAGAAUUCUGAGGAAAGAAAUCGAAUGUUUCAAAAGACACAGCAGUUCGAAAAUUGCAGAGUACGAAUACGACAGACCUAUUCAAAGUAAAGGAUUUUUUACAUUUAGGGAGGAGCUGUUGUUACUGAAGGAUUUAUUUUAUUGGAAAAACAUGUUUCAACCAUAUUGCUUUUGCCAAUUGUGCGCGAUGGAUCGAUUGCUGAGUCUAGCCGAUCAGUACGCCAAAAACAAUGGGAGAGAACAUCUAAAAAGGUGGAAUAAAAUUAAAAAACGGACAAAGUUGAGAUGGCUGAUCGAUUUCGAAAUGAGAUUCAGCUAUUACAUCUCAAAAACUUUAGGCCUAAUUGUAUAAAAGUACCAACGAUGUCUCAAGCAAAAUUGAGAAACAAGUCAAAAUCUUUGCCCGUUUCCAAAUCGAUAGACAAUUACAGUUCAAAGGAAAAAGAUUUCGACCAGUCGCCAAUUUACAACGUUAAAGAUAUGUCUACGCAAACGAUUCGUAAGAUUACAUCCGCCGUUUCUGACAAUGUGAAUGAUCAACCUUUGGAUCUAAGGACCCGUUUUCAAACAACAUUGGGAGAAGAAAACUGACAAUGAGAUGUUAUAUCUUUGAAAGCUGCAAAUUUUUGUUUAAUUUCUACGAUACGUUUCAUAAAGAAUAUUUAAUGAUAAAAAAGAAGAAUGAAAUUAAGGAAAAGGAAUUAGAAAUGUUUAAAAGUUUGUUUAAAAAAAUAUUUAAAAGUUGAAAUAAGCGUAUCCGAGAUAGAAAUUUAGAUUUACAAUAAGUCUGUAAAUACUCCCGAUAAAGAAAUAAAAUUUGCUUAGUGCAUUGAUUGUUAAAUGUUAUUCGAAUGAAUGCUGACGUGGAUUUUGCACAAAAUCAAAAACUAUUUAAUGACUAUAAUUAUGCCAACAAUAAAUACUGUUUUUACACAA